GACGAACGCUGGCGGCGUGCUUAACACAUGCAAGUCGAACGGAAAGGCCCUGCUUUUGUGGGGUGCUCGAGUGGCGAACGGGUGAGUAACACGUGAGUAACCUGCCCUUGACUUUGGGAUAACUUCAGGAAACUGGGGUUAAUACCGGAUAGGAGCUCCUGCUGCUUGGUGGGGGUUGGAAAGUUUCGGCGGUUGGGGAUGGACCCGCGGCUUAUCAGCUUGUUGGUGGGGUAGUGGCUUACCAAGGCUUUGACCGGUAGCCGGCCUGAGAGGGUGACCGGCCACAUAGAGACGGAGUGACGCCCCGGACUGAUUCGUGCGGCAGGAGUGAGUGGUAUAGCUCGAUGGACGGACGCCUGCUGGAGCAACCCCGCGUGCGGGAUGACGGCCGUCGGGUUGUAAACCGAUUUCGCUUGUCACGGAGCGUGAUUGCCGGAACUGGAUAAGGAGCCACCGCCUAACUCCUU
Molecule: ribosomal RNA, 467 nt
Filed under: uncultured bacterium
Lineage: Bacteria
Description: partial 16S ribosomal RNA
Rfam family: Bacterial small subunit ribosomal RNA
Source: RNAcentral